UACGAAGGGGGCUAGCGUUUUUCGGAAUCACUGGGCGUAAAGCGCACGUAGGCGGAUUUUUAAGUCAGGGGUGAAAUCCCGAGGCUCAACCUCGGAACUGCCUUUGAUACUGGAGAUCUUGAGUCCGGAAGAGGUAAGUGGAGCUGCGAGUGUAGAGGUGAAAUUCGUAGAUAUUCGCAAGAACACCAGUGGCGAAGGCGGCUUACUGGUCCGGAACUGACGCUGAGGUGCGAAAGCGUGGGGAGCAAACAGG
Molecule: ribosomal RNA, 253 nt
Filed under: uncultured bacterium
Lineage: Bacteria
Description: partial 16S ribosomal RNA
Rfam family: Bacterial small subunit ribosomal RNA
Source: RNAcentral